UGGGGAAUUUUGCACAAUGAUGGAAACCCUGAUGCAGCGACGCCGCGUGAUUUAGAAGGCCUUCGGGUUGUAAAAAUCUUUUCUAUGGGAAGAAAAUGACAGUACCAUAGGAAUAAGGACCGGCUAAUUACGUGCCAGCAGCCGCGGUAAUACGUAAGGUCCGAGCGUUGUCCGGAAUCAUUGGGCGUAAAGGGUACGUAGGCGGGUAAGCAAGUUAGAAGUGAAAUCCUAUAGCUCAACUAUAGUAAGCUUUUAAAACUGCUCAUCUUGAGGUAUGGAAGGGAAAGUGGAAUUCCUAGUGUAGCGGUGAAAUGCGCAGAUAUUAGGAGGAAUACCGGUGGCGAAGGCGACUUUCUGGCCAUAACCUGACGCUGAGGUACGAAAGCGUGGGUAGCAAACAGG
Molecule: ribosomal RNA, 402 nt
Filed under: bacterium
Lineage: Bacteria
Description: partial 16S ribosomal RNA
Rfam family: Bacterial small subunit ribosomal RNA
Source: RNAcentral